RNAcentral lists this ribosomal RNA (253 nucleotides) under uncultured bacterium. RNAcentral describes it as "partial 16S ribosomal RNA". It matches the Rfam family "Bacterial small subunit ribosomal RNA", at positions 524 to 776 of the family's 1533-position model. The record is from RNAcentral.
UACGAAGGGGGCUAGCGUUGUUCGGAAUUACUGGGCGUAAAGCGCACGUAGGCGGACUAUUAAGUCAGGGGUGAAAUCCCGGGGCUCAACCCCGGAACUGCCUUUGAUACUGGUAGUCUCGAGUCCGGAAGAGGUGAGUGGAAUUCCGAGUGUAGUGGUGAAAUUCGUAGAUAUUCGGAGGAACACCAGUGGCGAAGGCGGCUCACUGGUCCGGUACUGACGCUGAGGUGCGAAAGCGUGGGGAGCAAACAGG